GUUAAUAACCGACCUAUUCUAUAGGGACCUAACUGUGACAUCAGAAAUAGUUUUAAUUCAAAUUCAGGUCCCUGGUUUUGUCUAUAAAUACCACCACGAAGUUCAAGUUCAAACCAGCUCAAAUUAGAGCAACCCAAGCCUUGAAACUUGGCAUAAACCUUCUCCUCCACCCCCUGAAGCCUCAGCCACCACCCUCAGCCACCAACAAUCACCACAGAGACGGUGGUUAACGGCCAAAAUUCCAGUCACGGCCAAACCUUGCAUAAUCGAGUUCCAGACCAAUUCACCUCCCAAUUCUUGUUCCAUUAGCUUCCUUAAGUCCAUUAGAGUGUGAACCAAUCCAGAACCAAGCUCAAAUUGCCCUGAAAUAGCCCAACCGAGCUCAAGAAGUUCUGAAACUUUGAGCUCUCGGUUCUCCCUCAAAUCUCCAUCAAUUUUGUCGAAUCAAGAGUCUAUCUUGCUUAGAAUUUCACCAGGAAACUAUUAGUGCAAGAAGUUUGAAGCUUGGAGGUCUAGUUUGUGAGCUGCCAUUGUUGACCGGAGAAAGCUUCAUAGAGCUUGUCGUGUUGGCCAAUCCAGAGACCUUCUGAGCUACCCACUUACACCAUUGAGUUCCUGGGAGUGAGAGGAUCCUUUUCCAACCAGUUUCCACCCUCAACUCCACCCUCUCACCGGAGCUCCGCCGCCAACCACCACCUUCUCCGGCGGGAUCACCGGAAAACUUCCCAGAACUUGGAAAAAUUCAUAUUUUCUGAAUCCUUGCACUAUAAGGAGUCCAUACACGCGAUCGGUUUUGAAUUUCACUAAGGUUUGAUACGGUUUCGGAAAAAAAAAAAAAAAAGACGAUAAUCGAUCGGAGGAUUUUUCGAAGAAAGGGACGGAGAUCGAGGAGAAAGAACUAGAAUGAAAAAAAGUGACCAAGGCAGGAAGAGCCGUAAAUAGUUGUGAAUAUACGAGAGUGUUCGAGUAGAAUAAAGACCAGCCGAUGGAAGAAGACGUGUGCGACUGGACUCGUACUCUAUCAGACUGUAAAAUAAGUAUGAAAGCAGUGGGUUUUUUUUUGUAAUUAAGUUUGUCAAAGUUAUCGGGAAAGAUUCAGAGGAGUCCAUGCGAGACUCUGUGACGUCUUGUCUAAGGAAAGGAUCGGAAUUGCUUUUAAUGACGCUUAGCGCGGCUAACUUUCCUGGAGACAUUCUCAGACUAUCAAUUGGACAUCGAUGAAUUCUGACCCAAAGGUCUUGUACUUCUUCAAAGUUCAUCAAUAAAAGUGUUGUUCUCUGAA
Molecule: long non-coding RNA, 1282 nt
Organism: Lotus japonicus
Lineage: Eukaryota; Viridiplantae; Streptophyta; Magnoliopsida; Fabales; Fabaceae
Exons: 3
Source: RefSeq, a predicted model, not a curated record